This 696-nucleotide ribosomal RNA is filed under the name uncultured Alphaproteobacteria bacterium. RNAcentral's name for it is "bacterial SSU rRNA". It matches the Rfam family "Bacterial small subunit ribosomal RNA", at positions 44 to 776 of the family's 1533-position model. Lineage: Bacteria; Pseudomonadati; Pseudomonadota; Alphaproteobacteria. The record is from RNAcentral.
AUGCCUAACACAUGCAAGUCGAACGGGAUCCGGACUUCGGUUCGGUGAGAGUGGCGGACGGGUGAGUAAUGCGUGGGAACCUGCCCAGUGGUGGGGGAUAACUGCGGGAAACUGCAGCUAAUACCGCAUGAGCCCGAGAGGGGAAAGAUUUAUCGCCAUUGGAGGGGCCCGCGUUCGAUUAGGUAGUUGGUGAGGUAAUGGCUCACCAAGCCUUCGAUCGAUAGCUGGUCUGAGAGGAUGAUCAGCCACACUGGGACUGAGAUACGGCCCAGGCUCCUACGGGAGGCAGCAGUGGGGAAUAUUGGACAAUGGGGGCAACCCUGAUCCAGCAAUGCCGCGUGAGUGAUGAAGGCCUUCGGGUUGUAAAGCUCUUUUGCCAGGGACGAUGAUGACGGUACCUGGAGAAUAAGCCCCGGCUAACUUCGUGCCAGCAGCCGCGGUAAUACGAAGGGGGCAAGCGUUGUUCGGAAUUACUGGGCGUAAAGGGCGCGUANGCGGCUUAUCAAGUCAGGCGUGAAAUUCCCGGGCUCAACCUGGGGGCUGCGCUUGAUACUGAUGAGCUUGAAUGCGGGAGAGGAUAGUGGAAUUCCCAGUGUAGAGGUGAAAUUCGUAGAUAUUGGGAAGAACACCGGUGGCGAAGGCGGCUAUCUGGCCCGUAAUUGACGCUGAGGCGCGAAAGCGUGGGGGGCAAACAGG